This 597-nucleotide ribosomal RNA is filed under the name Triticum aestivum (bread wheat). RNAcentral describes it as "partial small subunit ribosomal RNA". Lineage: Eukaryota; Viridiplantae; Streptophyta; Magnoliopsida; Poales; Poaceae. The record is from RNAcentral.
AUGUAUGCUAAAGGUUCUCCUAAAUUCAACUUGAUGCAAAGGAAAGUUGACAAGCCAAGGGCCCAAUGGAACCAAGGACUUGAUAAGUCCUUGGUAGAUUUGCUUCAUGAGCAUGAUGACCCUAAUCUAGAGGUGAUAAUGGUUGGGGAAGUGAAACAUGGAACCAGAUGGUCAAACAUGGAAAAUAAUGUAAAAUUCAGGAGAGGACCUUUCCCCCUAUAUGACAGGCUAGGAGACUUAUGCGAUGGCCAUACAACUGAGGGUACUUAUAAUUUCAUAUCUUCUGAACCAUCACAACAAGUUGGGCCAUCACAUACCCUGGAGGAAGGGGAUGUUGUUGCUACUGCUAGAGUUGGUGAAAAGGGGGUUGCCGAUGCGCAUCUCUUGGAGGAACCUCGGAAGGAGCCAAAGAAGCCAAAGAAGACUGGAGAUGCGAUGGUGGAAGUGAUGCAACAGUACAUGAAUAUAAAGAAGAAACAAGCGGAGGAUGAAGUCUCCCUUCAGACAAAAGAGUGCUGGAUUAGCACAUGGGCAAGAAUUCUCCAUCAGCAAGUGCAUUUCUCUAGUGCGCAAGAUGGAAGGCAUCACAUGCCAUGA